This 429-nucleotide ribosomal RNA is filed under the name Chloroflexota bacterium. Its description in RNAcentral is "Chloroflexi bacterium partial 16S ribosomal RNA". It matches the Rfam family "Bacterial small subunit ribosomal RNA", at positions 355 to 776 of the family's 1533-position model. Lineage: Bacteria; Bacillati; Chloroflexota. The record is from RNAcentral.
UGGGGAAUAUUGCACAAUGGGCGCAAGCCUGAUGCAGCCAUGCCGCGUGUAUGAAGAAGGCCUUCGGGUUGUAAAGUACUUUCAGCGGGGAGGAAGGGAGUAAAGUUAAUACCUUUGCUCAUUGACGUUACCCGCAGAAGAAGCACCGGCUAACUCCGUGCCAGCAGCCGCGGUAAUACGGAGGGUGCAAGCGUUAAUCGGAAUUACUGGGCGUAAAGCGCACGCAGGCGGUUUGUUAAGUCGGAUGUGAAAUCCCCGGGCUCAACCUGGGAACUGCAUUCGAAACUGGCAGGCUAGAGUCUUGUAGAGGGGGGUAGAAUUCCAGGUGUAGCGGUGAAAUGCGUAGAGAUCUGGAGGAAUACCGGUGGCGAAGGCGGCCCCCUGGACAAAGACUGACGCUCAGGUGCGAAAGCGUGGGGAGCAAACAGG